RNAcentral lists this transfer RNA (78 nucleotides) under Gammaproteobacteria bacterium. RNAcentral describes it as "tRNA-Pro". It matches the Rfam family "tRNA". Rfam says of the family: Transfer RNA (tRNA) molecules are approximately 80 nucleotides in length. Their secondary structure includes four short double-helical elements and three loops (D, anti-codon, and T loops). The record is from RNAcentral. Lineage: Bacteria; Pseudomonadati; Pseudomonadota; Gammaproteobacteria.
CUGGGUGUAGCUCAACCGGAUAAGAGCACGCGCUUUGGAAGCGCGAGGUUACUGGUUCAAAUCCAGUCAUCCAGACCA